This 450-nucleotide long non-coding RNA is filed under the name Drosophila guanche. Lineage: Eukaryota; Metazoa; Arthropoda; Insecta; Diptera; Drosophilidae. The record is from RNAcentral.
GUUUAGCGAAGAUGAACCAAACGCGUGACGGUUGGGAAACCAUUAUCUCGCGCGUGAAGAAGAAUUGCCAAAAUACGCGAAUUGCGGUCGAGAAUGAACCUGACCUUCAAUCUAUUUGAGAAAUUUGGGGUGUCGACUAGAAAUAUGUUCGAAUCUCCGCAUUAUCCCAAUAAUAGACGAUUACCGCUGCCGGUGGGCAUGCGAUUCGGGAACGGUCAGGAGGAAGGACAAGGACUUUCUCACAGGGAUAAGAGGAACCACAGGGUCAAGACGCAGCACAGGGCCAGGACACAGCAUACGGCCAGGAGAACCCUCAACAAGAAUUAUAAAAUAAACACUGGCAUUCAACCGCACGGCCUUGUCUGCUGUUUUUUUUCACGUAUUUUGAGUGCCGAAUUGAAGUUUAAAUUUGUUUCCAAUCGAUCCAUUUGGUUCUUCCUUUGCCACUGG